GAUGAACGCUGGCGGCGUGCCUAAUACAUGCAAGUCGAGCGAACGGACGAGAAGCUUGCUUCUCUGAUGUUAGCGGCGGACGGGUGAGUAACACGUGGAUAACCUACCUAUAAGACUGGGAUAACUUCGGGAAACCGGAGCUAAUACCGGAUAAUAUUUUGAACCGCAUGGUUCAAAAGUGAAAGACGGUCUUGCUGUCACUUAUAGAUGGAUCCGCGCUGCAUUAGCUAGUUGGUAAGGUAACGGCUUACCAAGGCAACGAUGCAUAGCCGACCUGAGAGGGUGAUCGGCCACACUGGAACUGAGACACGGUCCAGACUCCUACGGGAGGCAGCAGUAGGGAAUCUGACGCAAUGGGCGAAAGCCUGACGGAGCAACGCCGCGUGAGUGAUGAAGGUCUUCGGAUCGUAAAACUCUGUUAUUAGGGAAGAACAUAUGUGUAAGUAACUGUGCACAUCUUGACGGUACCUAAUCAGAAAGCCACGGCUAACUACGUG
This 497-nucleotide ribosomal RNA is filed under the name uncultured bacterium. RNAcentral's name for it is "partial 16S ribosomal RNA". It matches the Rfam family "Bacterial small subunit ribosomal RNA", at positions 28 to 507 of the family's 1533-position model. The record is from RNAcentral.